UUAAAUUGAAGAGUUUGAUCAUGGCUCAGAUUGAACGCUGGCGGCAGGCCUAACACAUGCAAGUCGAACGGUAACAGAAAGCAGCUUGCUGCUUUGCUGACGAGUGGCG
Molecule: ribosomal RNA, 109 nt
Filed under: Escherichia coli
Lineage: Bacteria; Pseudomonadati; Pseudomonadota; Gammaproteobacteria; Enterobacterales; Enterobacteriaceae
Also listed under: 1 other name
Description: partial 16S ribosomal RNA
Rfam family: Bacterial small subunit ribosomal RNA
Source: RNAcentral